Vombatus ursinus (common wombat) is the source of this 591-nucleotide non-coding RNA. The record is from the annotation of a RefSeq genome assembly. Lineage: Eukaryota; Metazoa; Chordata; Mammalia; Diprotodontia; Vombatidae.
GAGCAGCCACAGGGGAGGAGACACUGCAAAAUGGGGUCACUGUCCCAGCUUCUCUGCGGGCUCCUCAUGCUUUUGGUCCCAGGUUCCAGGGGGGCAAUUGUGCUGACCCAGUCUCCAGCCUCAGUGUCUGUGACCCCAGGAGAGAGGGUCACCAUCAGCUGCAAGGCCAGUCAGAGUGUCAAACACAGUGAUGGAAAAACGUAUCUGUACUGGCUCCAACAGAAACCUGGACAAUCUCCUUGGCGCCUCAUUUACCAGGUUUCCAACCUGGAUUCAGGAGUCCCUGCCCGGUUCAGUGGCAGUGGUGCUGAGAAGGAUUUCACCCUCACAAUCAGCAGUGUGGAGCCUGAGGAUGGGGCAGAUUAUUACUGUUAUCAAACAACUUCUUCUCCUCGCACAGUGUUGCAUCCCGGAACAAAAACAUCCCCAGGCCCAGGCUGGUUGGUCAGGGUGGCUCAGCUGUCUCCUCUCCUUUCCCUCCCGCAGCAGCUGCUGGGCUGCCUGCUCAGGGGCAGGGUCUCUGGGGCUGACAUGAGAAAAGGGGCCCAGGGCUCAGGGGAAAGGCCAUGGUCUGGCAGCUCUGUGUCCUGA